CCUACGGGCGGCAGCAGUGAGGAAUAUUGGUCAAUGGACGAGAGUCUGAACCAGCCAAGUAGCGUGAAGGAUGACUGCCCUAUGGGUUGUAAACUUCUUUUAUAUGGGAAUAAAAUGUUCCACGUGUGGGAUUUUGUAUGUACCAUAUGAAUAAGGAUCGGCUAACUCCGUGCCAGCAGCCGCGGUAAUACGGAGUAUCCGAGCGUUAUCCGGAUUUAUUGGGUUUAAAGGGAGCGUAUGUGGAUUGUUAAGUCAGUUGUGAAAGUUUGCGGCUCAACCGUAAAAUUGCAGUUGAAACUGGCAGUCUUGAGUACAGUAGAGGUGGGCGGAAUUCGUGGUGUAGCGGUGAAAUGCUUAGAUAUCACGAAGAACUCCGAUUGCGAAGGCAGUUCACUGGACUGCAACUGACACUGAGGCUCGAAAGUGUGGGUAUCAAACAGGAUUAGAUACCCGAGUAGUC
Molecule: ribosomal RNA, 460 nt
Filed under: uncultured bacterium
Lineage: Bacteria
Description: partial 16S ribosomal RNA
Rfam family: Bacterial small subunit ribosomal RNA
Source: RNAcentral